Molecule: long non-coding RNA, 147 nt
Filed under: Capra hircus (goat)
Lineage: Eukaryota; Metazoa; Chordata; Mammalia; Artiodactyla; Bovidae
Description: lncRNA (ENSCHIG00010012765.1)
Source: RNAcentral
CCUUAAAGGCUUCUUCCCCUGGAGCUUGCCCCAUCUGGAAGUGGACCCCGGGCACCAUCUGGUCACACGCAGAGCCCCAAACCAGCCAGCUUUCAGUGUCUCCACCCAGAGAGAAGGUGGGUUUUCGUACCUUGAAGUGAAUGAAUU